GGUGUGUCGUGGAGAGCCUCUCAUUUCCGACCUCAGAUCGGACGAGAUUACCCGCUGAAUUUAAGCAUAUCACUAAGCGGAGGAAAAGAAACU
This 93-nucleotide ribosomal RNA is filed under the name Polystira oxytropis. RNAcentral's name for it is "partial 28S ribosomal RNA". The stretch from base 28 to 93 matches the Rfam family "Eukaryotic large subunit ribosomal RNA", at positions 1 to 66 of the family's 3401-position model. Lineage: Eukaryota; Metazoa; Mollusca; Gastropoda; Neogastropoda; Turridae. The record is from RNAcentral.